CGCCCGCCCGCCCGCCCGCGCCCCCUCCGCGGAGCCCCGAGCGCGGCUCGACCCGGGCCGGCCACGCCGAGCACCCCACCCCGGGCCUGGGGCCUCGGGCCGGAGUGGCGCGGAGGCCGGCGAAGAUGGUGGCGGCUGCUCCGUCAUACACGUGGACCUAGCAGCACCCGAAGCUUUGCCCAACGAUACUGGCUGAGAAGGAAGUUUGCCUGCGUGGUGUCUGCCAAUUUGGAGGAAGAAAAGGAGCUGCUGCCUGCAUCUGGGCUUCCUCGCAAGGUACUGACGACACUCAAACCCCCAGCUGGUGGGCCUCAUUUGUGUGUGUACGAUUUUUGUGUGCCCCUUAAUGUGUGGAUUUGGGAAAGAGCCCACAUUCUAAUAGGGAUUGCUUAUAACUUUGAAGAAUGCUAUUCUUAAGGCUUAAAUCUGUACAGUUCUGAACUUGUUGCUUUUAGAUCCUUUUCUCCCGUUGGGUGUAAGCUGAAAUUUGUGUUUGUCACAGGUGCUAGGGCUUUGGGCUGCUGUUCUAAUUAUUUAUUUCAAAUUUAGCAGGAAUGCAGAGCGCGUCACCUUGUGAGACUGGAGACUGAUGGAGUCAGGAUAAUGUCAAAGUGCUUACAGUGCAGGUAGUGAUAUGCACAUCUACUGCAGUGCAGGCACUUGUGGCAUUAUGGUGACAGCCGCCUCGCUCGGGAGCCACGGUGGGCGCGGAGUGACAGCGAGGGCCGCCUGCUGGUGCUGAGUGCUUUUUGUUCUAAGGUGCAUCUAGUGCAGAUAGUGAAGUAGACUAGCAUCUACUGCCCUAAGUGCUCCUUCUGGCAUAAGAAGUUAUGUCGUCACCUAAUGGAGUCGAGCAAGCGUGUAGGGGUCUCUUAAUGGUCUCUGUCUGCAGCCCUCUGUUAGUUUUGCAUACUUGCACUACAAGAAGAAUGCAGUUGUGCAAAUCUAUGCAAAACUGAUGGUGGCCUGCUAUUAACUUCAAGUGUUGUGUUUUCCUUUUCCUUUUUGACUAAUGCUGUGCUUUGGUUGUGUCGAUUAGAGUCUGCGUGGUGUGUGUGACAGACAGCUUCUGUGGCACUAAAGUGCUUAUAGUGCAGGUAGUGUCCACUCAUCUACUGCAUUACGAGCACUUCCAGUGCUGCCAGCUGGAGAGCCCCAGCCUCGCUCGCCCGCUUGCCCGCUCGCCCUUCACCCACUCAAACGGUCCUGGUACUGAGCACUGGUCUAUGGUUAGUUUUGCAGGUUUGCAUCCAGCUGUAUAAUACUCUGCUGUGCAAAUCCAUGCAAAACUGACUGUGGUGGUGAAAAGUCUGUAGAACAGUGAGGGAAAAUCAAACCCCUUUCUACACAGGCUGGGAUUUGUUGCAAUGCUGUGUUUCUCGAUGGUAUUGCACUUGUCCCGGCCUGUUGAGUUUGGUGGGGAUUGUGACCAGAAGAUGUGAAAAUUAAAUAUUGCUGAAGAUGCCAUGCCGAUUUCCACUGUAAAAAUGUUAUGGUGUACGAACUCGUUGUAACUUUUAUUGCUUUCACUAGUGUAACACAAGUUUUUUUAUUGGAAUUAGGUUUUUAGUUUUACUAAACCAUUUCACUUGGGGUUUGCAUGUCUGGUUUACAGGUUUUUUGUGUGUGGGCUUAGAGACCCACAGGUAUUCUGGUAUGUUGUUACAGUGGUGCCCUACUCUUACUUGGAACCUAGAGGGUCCAGGUUUAUUUUACUCAAACCCUUAUUCAAUUGACAGGAGUUAACAAAACUAGUCUUUGAAUCACUGUGUAGAGAGGGUUUUUCUAUUAAAGUGUGACAUUUAGGAUGAGGUUUUUCUGGUGCUACUGUUGCUGAUGCGUGAGAUUGGUGGCAGCAGCUAACAGGUGGUUAGCUCUGUGUUGCUGGUGUGCAUGCCGUGUAAGUAGGACCUUCAAACUGUUAGCAUGUGCUGCCUGAAAAAGCAAAGAUGACGAACAAGGUGCACUGGAAUUCAUAUCAGAAAAUGUUUGCAGUUAGAGUUCCUGUGUCUAGAAUUGGGCAGCACUGUUGGUUCCAGGCUGUGUGAAAAGAUGCCAUUGGAAUGAAACCUAAGAAUAGUCAAAUGAAUAAGGGUGAGCCGUUAAACCAGAUCAGAGCUGAUAGUAUUUAGGCAAGUGUAUAACCCUGAAAAAAGGAUUGUCUUAAUUUGAAAUUUUCAUAGCCUUUGCUUUAGACCGCCCAAAGUUAAGUUUGCUGUCUCUUGUGUUCUGCUUUUUAAAAGAAAUGUAAGAAGCUUAAGUCUUGGAUUCCUGAGCAGCAAGGUAAGGACUUUGCAUAUGUGGAGUUGACUGUAAGAUACCAGGUUCAGGAUCAUCAGAAUUGUACAAUGAUUAAGAGUUCUUACACCUUAGGAGUGAAUUAAAGUUGCUUUAGGUGAUUACUUAAACAUUGUUUAACAUGGCAAGUCCUAUAAUAAUAUCAACAUGAUUCAUGUACUUCUAUAUAAAGGGGUUCUAUCAAUUGUGUAUUCUUAGUGUCAUUGGAUGGCAUUUGUGUUUAGAAUGUUGUUGACUUGAAUUGAGAUUUCAUUCUAGUAAGGAAAGUGAUAAAUACAUUUCCUUAUGGGCCUCACAGUAAAGCAGAGUUUUUUCCAAGAUUCUUUUCAGUUUUCACUUAAAAAGUUUGGCUCCACACUAAGAGCAUCAAGCAGAUCUAUAAAUUUUGUUUCAACAGAUGGGGAGACCACUUGAUGUCUUGUUUCUAAUUUAAAAACAGAUUAGGUCUUUACACAUUGAUGUUGGUGACUUAGGCCUGAAGGCUCUUUCAGGAAAGGAGACUUACUGUUUUCUUGUAUGUUGAAUGUAAAUAGUUCUUAAGUUUGUCCUGUACUAGGAAGGAGGCACUAUUAAGACUUUACAAAGUGUUGAUUUCACUAAAAGCCCUUGAGAUGUUCGUUUUCACAGGCAAGCCUAAGCACAGAAAACCAACCAGCUGGACUUUUCCUUCCCUGUGCGUGGUUUGAAGAGUCAGUGCUACGUAAUUCCUGACACAGUGCAACCUGCAGCUGCUGGGAGAGAGAACGAUUCAGGGUUACUAAGUCUGUUGUAUGUAUAUGGACUUCUGUUCUGUAACUGACACUAUGUGGUUGUCUGUCCUCAGAGCAUUAGUAGGUGAGUCAGGCUAAGCAGUGGAGAAACUCAGUGGGCAGGGUCCAUUCUGGGUGUCUUAAUGACUGCCAGUGAGCCCCCCGUCACCUUGUAUAGAGGUGUCUGCUUUGUCACAAUUCUGGGCUUUUCUGUUUGGGUAAGCAGUUUAUAUCAUAUUGCUAAUUUAUAAAGGAUCUGCUCAGAAAGUGCCCUGUGAAUUUUAAGGCAUGGAAGAUUGCUGCAGGGUUUCAGGGUCGUCCCCCCCACACACACACACCCCAUUAUCUGACAUGGGCAGAGCCUUCAGAGGUACAGGGCUAGCAUGGUGACAAACUUAGUGUUGUUCAGUGGUGCAUUUAAUCCUAAUAAAUGCUACCUUUUAAACUUCAUGUACAUAAUGAGUAUGUUGAAAUAAAGUUCACUUGUGGCACUGGUGCUCUUGUAUCUUUUUUUUUCCUACAAGUAGCCUGAAUGUGUUCCCUGUAGAGGGUGUGGGAACCAGUCUUUAAGCAUGGAGUUUGUAUUUCUGUCUUAGUUUUACAGGUAAGAAGAAGCAUUAGGAAAGGUGGUAUAUUCCCUUAAGUCAAACCAAAGGAUAAGGCACAUUAGGCCACCUUUCCAAAUAGACCAGAAGGGCUACCUUGAUUUGGGUUCCUACCAUGAUUUGGAGAGUCACUUUUGAUAUUAGCUGGGCAUGUAAAGUCAUUCUGACUAGGAUGUAUAUACAUGUCAGAAUGUAUUUAAGUGGUGUGCUAAGUUAAAAACUUGACUGGACUGAUGUUCCACAUGUGCAAAGCUGGUUAUAUUGUAAUGUAUUGAAAAUGUUUUUUAAGCAGUGUCACUGAAGAUUUACUACAUUAAUAGAUUUCCAAAAGUCAAGAUACAUUAGAAACAAGGUACCAAUAAAGGCCAUUGCUCAUGCAAUGGAAAUAAGUAAAUGCAAUGUGACUAUAGUACUUCUGUGUACUUCUGUGUAUGUUCAUCUUAUUGAUUAUUGAAUAAAGUACUAUUUGGCCAAUGAGGCAGCAAGUUAGACGGGAGUAGGAGUCAAAGAGGAUUCUGGGAAAUGUAGUAAAGAAGUCAUGAUCCAGGCAGAAAAUGACAUAGUAGGGAGACUCAUAUUUAAGGAAGGACAAGCAGGAGUGGCCCCUUUUCCCCUCCACUCUUCCUCCAGCGGUGCCAUGUGAUCCACCAGCGAGGGAGGACGCCAAUGGAAGGCGUCUAAUAAGUCUUAUAAAAUAUAUAGACAGGAUAAUUAAGACUGAGCUAAUAAGAUGAGAAUCCUAGUCAUUGGCCAAGUAGCGUUUGUACCUAAUGUUAGUCUGUGCAUAAAUUGGGGCCCUAACUUGGUGGGCAGAACUCAGUCUACGUGGCAGUAGGGCUCGGGCAGGUUUUGGCGGAAAGAUUCAUUGUAACAAGUAUUAUUGUAUAAAGUAUUGAACAUGAUUGAAAGUGAGUUUUGAGUUUGUUAAUGUGCAUACUUGCUGAGCCACAUGUCCUUGCUUAGGAUCUGACGGUAUGGAUAGAGGACCCCCCCUCCCUAGUAACAGCUAGAGAAGCUAGGACUUGCAGAGGAGUCGGCUCUAUGGAGGCUUGUGUGUGUCUUGGUUUAGUUCCUGAACAGAAGGCAUAGUGGGGAGGGGCAGGGACAGCAGGGUUGUCCACGUGAGUUGACUUAACAGAUGUCCUUUGGAGUGCUUGAGCAGUGGGUGAGAAAGGGUUGUCUGGGUUUUCCUGUGUAUGAUGUUGAGACCGAUGUAGGCCGUGUGCUGAGUUGUCCUAAGUCAUGAACCAUAAGAACACUUAGGAACCUUGAAGCAAUCCAUGCCUACAUGGAGGUAGAGUAAACGGAUGAGGUUUUGUGACACGGAUGUGUUCAGUUUCUUAGGUUUAUAGAUGAUUUGCUAGCUGCAAAGUAGAAUUUUUUUGUGUAUAGCACUUUUUUUUUCUACAGUUCGAGAUAGUAAUGGCCAGUUUUUAAGCCCUCAACAGCAGUUAGCGUAAUUGAAAAUUGCACUUAAUACUGACUUCCAAAGAUUUGAGCCUUUAUGCCAGAAAUGUACACAUGUGUUUUACAUGGUACUGUUUUUCUAGUUUCUCUGGCCCCAAACUUCAAAUCUGCCCCCUGUGUUUUCAAAUGGUAGCUAAAGUUCUAAGGUCCACUUAGUGUUUUCUUUCAGCUUGAGAGCUCUGUUUGACCACCACCGUGUGUGCACACAUCCUCUGCUCCCUGCCUUUACCUUUUUAGGUGGGCUCAUGGUGAACUUGCUCAUAUCAGCCUAGCUCCUCAAGUGUGUGUGUUAGAUCAAUCUCCACAGGACAAGUUAUCACCUGGCAUAUUGGAAAUGGAGAAGAAAUCUGAGGUGCUUUUCCAAGCCUCAUUGAUGCCUUCAUUCUUAUCGGUGGGAUGUGUGCCUGCUUCCAGCCAACAGUGGUAAUGUGUAAACUUGAGCCCAACGCAUAGAAUGUAAAGCCUCACUCUCCUGGUGUGUACAGCUCACAGACCUUCAAGAAAGUAGAUGUGCCUGUGCGUUAGUGCUGCUGGAAUGCAAAGAGCUUGAGGGAGUGAGUAGAGUGGGUAGAAUGUGAUCAACCAAAGCAAGCUGUAUGAAGGCAAGUUGGCAAGUGGGAGUGUUGGUUUCUACAGAAGAUUGGUAGAACUUAGCAGAAAUAAGUGCUAAUGACCCAGAAAAACAGUGUCAACUACUGGGAGUGUUUGGACAGUGCGUUUUCAGGGACUGAGAAUCAGCUUGAACCCUUAGCAAAUUUAAUGCUCAGGCUGCUUAUGACUUCCAUAAAAUACUGCAGUGGUUGGACUUAGGACCUUUUUUUCGUGUUGGGGUUUAUCUGUGUGGACCAGGUUGUCCUUGAUUCGCCUGCCCCCAAGUGCUGGGAUUAUAGACAUGCUUUCACUGCCCAACUGGUUUCUCAAAUCUCAAACCUAUAUUAGGGCCUGAACAUGGUGUUUGGUUUAGUGGGGGAGGGCAGUUUGUACAGUAUGCUCUGACCAUUCAUCCAAACCAGUAGCUUCAACUUGAUCUGGUCUGUUUUGUGCUACCCCUAAACUGCUCAGUGGAGCCACCCACUGGAGCAUGGUCAACCUACCAACAGUCUUUAAAACUUGACUACCCCACAGGCCCUCCAUGUCUGCAUUCCUCAGUGUGGGGCUGAGGCACCUGAGCCUCUUGCUCCUUCUGAGCAUGGAGAUGGCAGCCACAGCUACAUGGUAAGUUGUAGGCUAUGUGAAACCCUAUACCAAAACUGCAGCCACAGCCCAAGUUCUCCCUCUGCUCACCAGUCUUGUAUUCUGCAUUGGUACAUGUGUCGGUGCUAAUUAACUGCAAGUCUUCCUGCAUGGGGUUUCCAAGCAGACCAGGAACACAGGUGCUAGCACCUAGGGACAAAGCCAAUGAUGUCGGAAAUUUUUGUGAUGUGUGUAGUUAAAAUGAAGAAACAAGGAACCUUCUCAGAUUACAAAAUUACAGCAAAUGAUUUUCUUGGAACUUUGUAGUUUAAUGGUUUAUUGCCCCUGUAAUGUGUAAGCUCCAGUUUGAAGACCGCCCUUCUGAGUUACCGUGUGCUACUUGGCUAACAGGUUAAGUGUAAGAAGCCAAGGUUUUCCCACAUUGAAUGCUUAACCAGAUCAUCUCCCAAGAAGAGCAAGGCUUUAUUUUUCUCUAGAUUUUUUUAAAAUUUCAAUUUGAAGCAAUCUUACUUUACAUAGCAAAUUACAGCUCCUUCUCCCCUGCCCCCCAACCUCCCAUCCCACCUCCUUUCUGCUCCCCAGGGAGGGUGAGGCCUUCCAUGGGGCACUGAAAAGUAACCCUGUCACAUCAUUUGGGGCAGGGCCUAGGCCCUCUCCUAUGUAUCUGGGCUGAGAGAUUAUCUAUGGGGAAUGGACUACCAAAAUCCAUUUAUCCCAUGGGAUAAAUACUGUUCCACUACCAGAGGCUCCAUAGGUUGUCCAGGCCUUGUAACUGACACCUGUGUUCAGGGGGCCUGGUUUCCCAAUUGUCAAGUUGGGGACCAUGAACUUCACCCUUGUUCAGGUCAGCUGUUUCUGUGGGUUUCCCCAGUAUGGUCUUGACCCCUUUGCUCAUCACUCCUCCCUCUCUACAACUGGGUUCCAGGAGUUCAGCUCAGGUGUUUGGUGAGGAGGGGAGAAUGUAGGUGGUGGCCUUGGCUUGCCUACAGUGCGCUUUGCCCACCCAUAGUGUAGUCUAUUGCUUGUAGGUCUCAAAUGCCCUGUGGGAAAGGCCUCUGCUGCCCUAUUGAGUUGAUUUAGUAAAUGGUUGGAUUCUUUCAUUGUCUUUGAUUUUGUUCCUGCAGUGCCUUAUCUUAAGAUUACAGCCACAGUUUUCAGCUCUCUGGACCAGAAGUCUUGAGGUGGAUCUCAUUAGGCUUGAGAUUUGGAUAUUAGAAUGGAAAUGGUAUCAACAAGUCUGUUUCUGCAGCUCUAGGGGAUAUAGAGUUUCCUUGUCUCAGUCUAGCGGCUGCAUUUCUUGACUUCAUCUUUGCACAUGUAUCUCCUAUCCUCUUUCUCUUAGCCUUGACUCCAUCUGCCUCCUUUGCUGUGUAAGACAGUUGUAUGUUCCAUAGACAGUACUUUGUUUUCAUGGAAUCAUGUUGACUUUGUGUCUAUAGUCCUUUGUAACUCCUAGGGUUACAGAGUCCAGGAACGUUUGAUGCUCCUGAAGAUUUUUCCUUGUUGGCGUUUACUACCCUCUUAGAGCAAUGUAAGAAAAAGAUGGCAAGCCACAGUUGCCACUGGGUAAAAGCAAGCUCUGCUAGAAUGGAAGGGGCGUGCAGUGUUUCUCACUAGAGCUUUCUAGAAAGAGUGGUCCCCAGUCAGUUAACAGGCUAAUAAAGGUCUCUAGAAUAGGGAGGGAAAGGAAUAGAAAUAUUUGCUAGCCAAUACCAUGUAUAAACAUUCAAUCCAGGAUUGUUUUUCAGUAUGAAAAGAGACUGCUGUCAGGGUUUGAAAGUGUCAACUGCCUCCAAACUGGGCAAUGAGACCCUUCUGCAGGCAAGUUAAGAAAUAAUUUGUUAAAAGUGCUAGAACUAACAGUUUAUAAAGGACAAGAAGAAACUUUUAGAUGUAUUUAAGCUUUAUAACAUGGAAUCCUGGAUUAAUUUUGGCCAUUGGGAAUGUAGACAGCUAGACAAACGUGUCUUCAAAUUCUAUUAAACCUAGGUCCCUGAAAACAAAACAAAAAUCUUAAUUUGUUUCCCUUAAAAUGUAUGUAAAAUAGUAAGUAUCUGUAAGGUUUAAGUGUUGUGUGGUCAGUGCAAUCUUGGAUUUUAUUGCUAUUGUAUUUCUAUAAAGUUCUUCGAUGCCCUAGACUGUUUUGUUGUAGAGACUGAAGAGUGUUUAUGUUAGGGAAAGGGACAGCAGAGGAAUACAUACAAUAGUGGCUAAGGGGUAUCUGAUACAAAAGGAAAACUCCUCGGCCUGUUACAUGUGCUGUGCAUGAGUGACAUGCAUGGUUGAAAGGGCAGGUAAUAGAAAAUGUGCCUGGGUAAGAGUUCAGAGCAACUCUCAGAAGCAGCUACCACACUAACACUUUUACACAGACCUUCAAUCCCAGCAUUCUGGAGCGAGUUUAGACCAGCUUGGGCUACAUACUGAAUUUAAGGCUAUCUUUGGCAAUUACAGACACCCUGUCUACAAAGAAACAUUAAAUCCAGUUUUUCUGGUGUUUUAAGUAAAGAAGAGGCUUGGAGAUUGCGCAGAAGUUAAGAGCUCUCAAAGAGGACCAAGGCUCAAUUCCUGGUAUCCCUAGUAUCCACAUGGUGGCUCUCAACCAUGCAUAACUCCCAGGAGUUCCAGUCCUCUUCUGGCACCAGACAUACACAUACAAUACAUACAUGCGUACUGGCAGGCAUCACAUUCAUGUACAUGAAACAUGAGUCCAUGACCUCAAGAUGAAUUUCUGCUGUUUUUCAGCAGAUGGCCAUGGUCUAACUAAUGUGUGACCCUGUGCUAGAGGCUAGGAAUCUUUAAAGACACUGACUUUGGAGAGAAGUCCCAUCCAUGCAUGCAUAAGAUGGGAACUAGUAUAACAAAAUGAUGAUGAGCCACCAGACUCAAGUUAGCAAGUUAGCACCAGAGGAGGUCCUAGCAAGGAAUACUAACAUGAUAUUCUGACGUCCUGUGUGUAAGCACCUGUUUUUGAAGGGGAAGUUCUCACGGGCAGCUCCUAGGGCCCUCUGCACAACGAGUGGACUACAGGUAAUGAAGAUUGGCUUCAGCCAGAUAUAGGAAGAUUCAUGAGUGUGG
Molecule: long non-coding RNA, 9388 nt
Filed under: Cricetulus griseus (Chinese hamster)
Lineage: Eukaryota; Metazoa; Chordata; Mammalia; Rodentia; Cricetidae
Description: lncRNA (ENSCGRG00015039086.1)
Rfam family: mir-19 microRNA precursor family (bases 1223-1301)
Source: RNAcentral